UAGGGAAUCUUCGGCAAUGGACGAAAGUCUGACCGAGCAACGCCGCGUGAGUGAAGAAGGUUUUCGGAUCGUAAAACUCUGUUGUUAGAGAAGAACAAGGACGUUAGUAACUGAACGUCCCCUGACGGUAUCUAACCAGAAAGCGACGGCUAACUACGUGCCAGCAGCCGCGGUAAUACGUAGGUGGCAAGCGUUGUCCGGAUUUAUUGGGCGUAAAGCGAGCGCAGGCGGUUUCUUAAGUCUGAUGUGAAAGCCCCCGGCUCAACCGGGGAGGGUCAUUGGAAACUGGGAGACUUGAGGGCAGAAGAGGGGAGUGGAAUUCCGUGUGUAGCGGUGAAAUGCGUAGAUAUAUGGAGGAACACCAGUGGCGAAGGCGGCUCUCUGGUCUGUAACUGACGCUGAGGCUCGAAAGCGUGGGGAGCAAACAGG
This 429-nucleotide ribosomal RNA is filed under the name Gemmatimonadota bacterium. RNAcentral describes it as "Gemmatimonadetes bacterium partial 16S ribosomal RNA". It matches the Rfam family "Bacterial small subunit ribosomal RNA", at positions 355 to 776 of the family's 1533-position model. Lineage: Bacteria; Pseudomonadati; Gemmatimonadota. The record is from RNAcentral.